RNAcentral lists this ribosomal RNA (441 nucleotides) under uncultured bacterium. RNAcentral describes it as "partial 16S ribosomal RNA". It matches the Rfam family "Bacterial small subunit ribosomal RNA", at positions 338 to 795 of the family's 1533-position model. The record is from RNAcentral.
CCUACGGGUGGCAGCAGUGGGGAAUAUUGCACAAUGGGGGAAACCCUGAUGCAGCAACGCCGCGUGAGUGAGGAAGUAUUUCGGUAUGUAAAGCUCUAUCAGCAGGGAAUAGAAAAGAAGGUACCUGAAAAAUAAGCCCCGGCUAACUACGUGCCAGCAGCCGCGGUAAUACGUAGGGGGCAAGCGUUCUCCGGAUUUACUGGGUGUAAAGGGAGCGUAGACGGCAAGGCAAGGCUGAAGUGAAAGCCCGUGGCCCAACCACGUGACUGCUUUGGAAACUGUGUUGCUGGAGUGCAGGAGGGGUAAGCGGAAUUCCUAGUGUAGCGGUGAAAUGCGUAGAUAUUAGGAGGAACACCGGUGGCGAAGGCGGCUUACUGGACUGUAACUGACGUUGAGGCUCGAAGGCGUGGGGAACAAACAGGAUUAGAUACCCCAGUAGUC